CCAAUAGCGUAUAUUAAAGUUGUUGCAGUUAAAAAGCUCGUAGUUGAAUUUCGGGAUUGGCGUGUCGGUCGUGCCUUACGGGGUAUGAACUGGCGUCGUCGAUUUCUCACCUUCUGGAGAAUCACGAUGCCCUUAAUUGGGUGUCGUGUGGAACCAGGACCUUUACCUUGAAAAAAUUAGAGUGUUUAAAGCAGGCAUUUUUGCUCGAAUACAUUAGCAUGGAAUAAUAAAAUAGGACGGUUUGGUUCUAUUUUGUUGGUUUCUAGGAUCACCGUAAUGAUUAAUAGGGAUAGUUGGGGGCAUUAGUAUUCAAUUGUCAGAGGUGAAAUUCUUGGAUUUAUUGAAGACUAACUACUGCGAAAGCAUUUGCCAAGGAUGUUUUCAUUAAUCAAGAACGAAAGUUAGGGGAUCGAAGACGAUCAGAUACCGUCGUAGUCUUAACCAUAAACUAUGCCGACUAGGAAUCAGACGAUGUUAAUUUUUUAAUGACUCGUUUGGCACCUUACG
This 507-nucleotide ribosomal RNA is filed under the name uncultured Glomeromycotina. Its description in RNAcentral is "SSU rRNA". It matches the Rfam family "Eukaryotic small subunit ribosomal RNA", at positions 591 to 1092 of the family's 1831-position model. RNAcentral also lists the same sequence under 1 other name. Lineage: Eukaryota; Fungi; Glomeromycota. The record is from RNAcentral.